RNA transcript from Aethalodelphis obliquidens (Pacific white-sided dolphin), 10022 nucleotides. It is a transcript of the gene named activating transcription factor 7, with no coding region annotated. The record is from RefSeq and is a predicted model, not a curated record. NCBI's taxonomy places the organism in Eukaryota, Metazoa, Chordata, Mammalia, Artiodactyla, Delphinidae. The transcript is spliced from 13 exons.
CUUACAGCCUCCCUCCUUAGCCCUGCCCACCGAAAGUCCAGCCCCUUCUUUUUCCGGAGCCCCGCCCCUCGGCCCCUUUCCGACUCAGGCCCUGCGGAUCUCGCCCUUCCUCCAACUCCUCUCCAUAUCUCGCGAGAAGUGAGCGCGCCUGGCCGGACGAGAGAAAAGUAUCUGCUCCGCUUAGGGGGGAAAGAAGGAGCUGGAGACAGAUUGUGGGACCGAGCGCGGGCGGGCGGGAGGCGACGGAGCUACCAGCGGCUCCGCUCUGCUAUAUGAAAUAUGGGAGACGACAGACCGUUUGUGUGCAAUGCCCCGGGCUGUGGACAGAGAUUUACAAACGAGGACCACCUGGCAGUUCAUAAACACAAGCAUGAGAUGACAUUGAAAUUUGGCCCAGCCCGAACUGACUCAGUCAUCAUUGCAGAUCAAACUCCUACUCCGACUAGAUUCCUGAAGAACUGUGAAGAGGUGGGGCUCUUCAAUGAACUAGCUAGCUCCUUUGAACAUGAAUUCAAGAAAGCUGCAGAUGAGGAUGAAAAAAAGGCUGCUUCUGGGCCCCUUGACAUGUCUCUGCCUUCUACACCAGACAUCAAAAUCAAAGAAGAAGAGCCAGUGGAGGUAGACUCAUCCCCACCUGACAGUCCUGCCUCUAGCCCCUGCUCCCCACCACUCAGGGAGAAGGAUGUUGCCCCAAAGCCUGUUGUGAUCUCUACGCCCACACCUACCAUCGUACGCCCUGGCUCCCUGCCUCUCCACUUGGGCUAUGAUCCACUUCACCCAACCCUUCCUUCCCCAACCUCCGUCAUCACACAGGCUCCACCAUCCAACAGGCAACUGGGGUCUCCCACUGGCUCCCUCCCUCUCGUCAUGCAUCUUGCUAAUGGACAGACCAUGCCUGUGCUGCCAGGGCCUCCGGUACAGAUGCCUUCUGUUAUAUCGCUGGCCAGACCUGUGUCUAUGGUGCCCAACAUUCCUGGUAUCCCUGGCCCACCAGUUAACAGCAGUGGUUCCAUUUCUCCCUCUGGCCACCCUAUGCCAUCAGAAGCCAAGAUGAGACUAAAAGCUACCCUAACCCACCAAGUCUCCUCAAUCAACGGUGGCUGUGGAAUGGUGGUGGGGACUGCCAGCACCAUGGUGACAGCCCGUCCAGAGCAAAGCCAGAUCCUCGUCCAGCACCCUGACGCCCCAUCCCCUGCCCAGCCACAGGUCUCACCAGCCCAACCCACUCCUAGUACUGGAGGGCGACGUCGGCGCACGGUGGAUGAAGAUCCAGAUGAGCGGCGGCAGCGCUUUCUGGAGCGCAACCGGGCCGCAGCCUCGCGCUGCCGUCAAAAGCGGAAGCUGUGGGUGUCCUCCCUAGAGAAGAAGGCUGAGGAACUCACGUCUCAGAACAUUCAGCUGAGUAAUGAAGUCACAUUACUACGCAAUGAGGUGGCUCAAUUGAAACAGCUGCUGUUAGCUCAUAAAGACUGCCCAGUCACAGCACUACAGAAAAAGACCCAAGGCUAUUUAGAAAGCCCCAAGGAAAGCUCAGAGCCAACGGGUUCUCCAGCCCCUGUGAUUCAGCACAGCUCAGCAACAGCCCCGAGCAAUGGCCUCAGCGUUCGCUCUGCAGCUGAAGCUGUGGCCACCUCAGUCCUCACUCAGAUGGCCAGCCAAAGGACAGAACUGAGCAUGCCCAUACAGUCGCAUGUGAUCAUGACCCCACAGUCUCAGUCUGCGGGCAGAUGAUGCCUCCCCUGGUGGAGAGGUCCCCAGCCAGAGCUCGCCCGCCCGAGAGCCAAGAGAGAUGUCAUCUUAUCCUCUCCCAUCUGCCUUGGACAUGGCAGUAUGGGGGGGAAAUUGUGUGUUGUGAGUAAUGGUCAGAUGUGGGGCUUUUCUCACAUGGUCAUUUACGUUGACACCUGUACUAGGAGCCUCCAAGCCCCAGAGCCACAUAGAUCAUACCCCAAGGGGGAAGUUUCUGAUGUACCCACAGCCAAAGGCCUUUCCCGAUGGUCCGAACAAUCAUCCCUGCCCAUGCACGUGUACCUGUCUCUUUUAACACUAACCCUUGUACUUCUAGGUUUCGGUUUCUCAGUUCCCUCUCUUUCCACCAAGCCAUGGCUAUUACCUUCUUGAUUCUUAGCAGCAUGCCACUUCCUACUAGGUAGAGGGAGGCUAGAGUUGAUGGCAUAUCAAUGGCUGACCCAUCCCUAGCCACCCCAUGGACUCAGGACUUUGUCUCCCAGUAGCUGCUUAUUUAUGCCUUUUUCCCCCUCCGUAAAUUCUAGUUAAAACAUUCACUUAUGGAGAAUGUAAGGUUACCUUUGAUGUAUGAAGUAGCAGUAUUUCCCAGCUCUUCCAUAAACCUUAGUCCUCCCUACUUGCCACCAAAACAAAAACAGAGAAAUGAAACCUCAAACGGUCUAGUCCUUUCUCAUUUAUUUCCAGAGCUAUUUGGGUACCUCAUUUUAUGUCUUGAGUUUUCCCAGUCUAGUGGUGGGGUCUUUUCCACCUCCCACUAAGCCUUGGCAACCUCAUCUUGUGGCCUUAUUAGAUAGUGCUUGGUAGUGAAAAGGGAAAGAGCCCAGGAUCUGACUGGCUGGUUCCCUUCCCAUCCCCCACUCCAUCCUCCUUCAGUUCUAAUCAUCAGGACAGGCAGGAACAAUGUAGUUUAAAGCUUGUUCCAUCAAGUUACUAGAUUGAUUCUUUUAUGUUUUACAAGAGUUUACUAGCCAAAGCAUACAGAUUGCUUUUGGUCAUCUUUCCACUCCUGCCUCUCCCUCUUCGUACCCCUGCCUGCAUUCCUGCCUCUGUCUCUCUUCUAUAAUUAGUUCUGAUGCAACCCUCUGGAAGCUGUCCUGUAGGGGAUUCUUGUGCUCCCUCACCUCCCCUCGCCCCCCAUCUCUCAGUCUCACACAUCUGUCUUCUUUUCUGAGUGAGGGUCUGAUAUUCACAACUGGUCCUCACUGGAUCUGCCUUCGCUCUCUUUCACUAGGCUCCAAGCCUAGCCACUAGGUCUCUCUGGUUCUGUAGCGUUUCUUUAGCUCUUUUCUUCUCUCUGCCCCCUGGAUGCAAUGCUUCUCCAUAGUCUACGCCCCAGGACCCUGAGGCAUCAUAGCCGAGGUCCUGAGUGGGUUUUCUUGAGUAUACGUUAGGGUGGGGGGAGGCACGGGAAGGGAAGGUGGAGCACUGAUGUCAGCAGAAGAGCCCUGCUCGUUGAAGAGUCUGACCUGCCUGGGAAAUUGGUGACUGUUGCUCUCAGCCAUUCUUACUUUGAAAAGUUGUGUUGCAGGGGGGGAAAUUCAUCCCUCCUGUCCCUCUUUCUUCCCCAUUCAGACUCCUCAUCUUCCUUUGGCUCUGAACUAUGCAAUUUCUACCAAGGCCAUAGGAAGCAGUCCAAAGCCAGAGGCCUGUGGAUAGAUAGGUCAGCUUUAAUAGCCCUUCAGUAUGAAGCCCUUCCAAUUGUCCCAGAGCCACUUUCUGCCAUCUGCCCAAGCCAAUAAUGUCCUUUUCUCUCUCUCUCCUACCUCCAUCUUAUACAUGCAUACAGAGUGACUGCCAGCUUCCUUUCUUAUUUUAUCUUCCAAAAUUGGCUAUCGUAGAGGAAUGAGGAAAUGUUCUAAGCUACGAGAUUCCCAUCUCCUCAGACUGAUAAACUGGUGAGCCAGUUAGAGGACAUGUUCUACUGCAUUUGUUUUUAAUUUCCCCUCCUGCUUUUCAGAGCUGGUGUUGAAGAAGCCACACCUGGUGAAGAGAAAGGAGAGAAAACAUGGUUUUCUCAUCCUCCCCCACCCAGGACCCAACAGGAACAGCCCCUGAGGUGACUCAGACUAGCAAAUGGCACGGCAGAUGGUCAGGAUGCAGGUUACCACCUCCAGGGACUCCACUUGCCUUUAAAACUUCACAGCCAUAACUUGUGCUCAGGACUUUUCCUUUAGAUGGCUGCUCCCUGGGAUUUUCUCCUGCCUUAGUUGUGUUUCAUUUUUUGUUAUCUUUAUUUCCCACUUGUAGCCUUGCCCUAAAGCUUGACUGCGUUUAUGGCUCCUAAGGAGCCUUCAUAAGACCCUUGACUGUUUUUCUUCCCCCUUCAGUCAUGUGUUUUUCAGUUUGUCGCUGCACACAGGCCCUGCCUCACUGCUUGGCCUUGGAGGAAGUUUGAGUCCUGCCAGUCUGUCCCUGUGUAGGAUGGCUAAUUUAUGUAGAGGGUCUUAUUUAGUUUCUUAAUCCCCAUGUCUAAUUCUCUUGAGUCCUUAUUUCAUUUUCAUCAGUGGGAAGUUAGUACUGGGGACCUAACCGAGAGGCAUUGGCAGAACCUUAGUAGUAAAGCAGCAGUGAAAUGAGGAAGGAACAACGACAGGACCUCCCCCACCCCAGACAGCUCUUCAGUUGGUCCUUAGUCUCACUAAGAAGGCAGAGCGAUUGCUUGCCCUGAAGUCUCUCCUGUAGUCAAGGGGAAUGACAUUUACCUUGUUACUGCAGCCAGUUGUGUGGCCACUCUCCCCUGCUCCUUGCCCUCCAGACUCCUUUGGACCAGAACAUCAUGGAGGGUGUCACUUAGCUCUUUUUAAGGAACAUGGCCUUUCUAGGGGCCUAAGGGAAGACACUUUCUAAAAGGGACUGGGAAUGUGGAUGCCUUAGGACUCUUCUAAGUGAACACAGGACUCAGGCCUCCCACUUCACUCCAAGGACACAGCAGCUAGAGACCCAAGGCCAUAGAGAAAGGGGCCAGAGCCAGGUCUUCUGGUCCACAGACUUAAUGCCCCAUUGUCUUAGUAUAUGUGCUGCCGAAGCGGGCACUGCCCCAUUGUCUUAAAAGAAAGCUUGCUUAGAGUUGAAGAGUCUGAAAGCCUCCCACACUAUGAGAAAGGACUAGAAAGAGUACAGCCUCCUUUACUUCAUCUUUCCCUGUUGGCCGUACACCCAAAUCUGGCUUCCUUCGGCCUCUGCUCCUCUCCUUGGCCUGAAGUCCUAGACUGUGUACACUCUCGGUGGCAGUAAAAGAGGAGAUGGCCUAACUGAACCUCAUUUUGCUGCCUUCCCUGUGCCUGUUCCGUGGUUCCAGUUCCUUUGCUGACUUACUGCCCUCCAGCACCACCCAUUCUGGUAGACAGGGUGCUUAACCCUAACCACGCCCCAUCUACAGCCUGAACCACCAAGUAGACACCAAAAUAUUCCUCCUCUGGUUCCUAAGUCCCCCGUUUGCUCACACUGAGAGGCUCCUUUAAAGGUGCUAGCCCUAAGACAGCUCUUCCCCCCAAAGUUCCCUUUUCUUUCCUUCCCAUCCCCAAAUCAUUAUUUUUCAUUAAUAUUGUACAUUGUAUACACAGGAAGGAAAUGUACACUUUUUUUUUUUAAUGUCAUAACCAGUCUGUUUAGAAUCCAGUCCUCCUAGCUGUAUCACAUAUGCCUUUGUUGAUAUGCUCUUUCUGCUUUCUUUAGACUUUUGUUUGACUGGGGCGGAGGGAAGAGCAGGACAGGUGAGGAUCCUAAGGCAGAUUAGAGGCCCCCCAUCCUACUUCAGCCUCCCACAACCCUAAUCAUUCCCUUCAUAGUACAGACUGAUUUCUGUUUCUGUUUGCACACAUGCAAGUGCACACAGACAUAAAUCCUCACUAUCCCAGGGUGGUGACCCAGCAGGGGUGAGUGUAGGUGGUUGCUAGCCAACAUUCCCACCCUCCAUACCAGUUCAUUCGUGUGUCUUUGGGGUAAAGUUCUUCCCUGGAAUGAGAAAAGGCUGGGGAGAGUAGGGCAGCUUAAGGCAGCUUACAUCCUCUGUAGAUGCAGGUUUGUAUUGUAGGUGCUAGGGUUUCUCUUUUUAAUGGGGGCUGGUAGCACAGAGCUAUCUCAUCAGCGUUAACUACUGGUGAGUGAGGAUUUCGCUGUAAGAAAUGGCUUUGAGCACUAGUUUCAUUGACUUUCCCUUAGGGCAGUGGUUCUCAGAAUGUAGUCCAGGACCAGCAGGACCAUCAUCUGGGAACUUGUUAGAAAUGCACAUUCAGGCCCCAUCCCAGACAUACUGAAUCAGAAACUCGGGAUGGGCUCUAACAAGCACUCAACGUGAUUCUAACACACACUAAAGUUUGAGAACCAUUGCCUUAGGGGCAAGCUGGGAGAUUCUUACAGGGUAUCAAGGAUAUUUUAAGUACCAUCCUCUGCCUUAGCACUAGCAUGUUUUUCCAUUUCCUCCAGUCCCUCCCUCCACUCCCAUUAAAACAACAACAAUGUCACUCAUCUCAAAAUCUAGGUUUGUCUUCCUCUGCUUACUCCUAAAACCUGCCCUGCGUGGGUCUGGACAGGAGUUGUCCCAUAUCCCCUUGCAGACUGGUCACUCCACGUUCUUUGUUACAGGAAGGACCGGCUGUCCUGUUCUCCCACUCACCCCGCCCCCAACACACACCUUUCAGGCAGGGAGAUGAGCCUUCAGCCCCAACAGUGGAGGCUACAGCCUCCUGACAUGGUAUCUGUUGAAAAGCUGUGUGUGCCUAUGGUUAUAUCUCUGUUCAUCUGUAUAUCUUGACAUGUAGCAACACCUCUCCAUGUCAUCAAGGAACUUGACUCUGGGUCUGGGUUUCCCCAGUCCCCAGUGGUGGACUUUGACAGGUGGGAGGAUGCAGUGCUACAGGCUGUUUUGUUAUGCAACUGUCUUCUCCCUUCCCCUCCACGCACUUCAGCAUGAUCCCUGUGAGCAGGCUCACAGUCUCCUGGGACGGGGCUGAGGCAGAGGCUUCGCUCUCUUCUCCCUGACCGUCCCUCCUCCUUCCCCCUUGCCACAUAGCAGUUAUCCCCCAGCCAUGCCUUCUCCCCCCUCCCUUGCCCUGACAUAUAUUGUGCCUUAUUUAUGCUGCAAAUAUAACAUUAAACUAUCAAGAGAAGCACUGUUCCGUCUGAUGUUUCAAUACUCUGAUCUACAAGUCCCAUUGUCCAUUCUUUCUGGGAAUUCAUUGGGCUUUCAUGUCUGCGAUCUUCACUCUCCCAUUUCUUAGGACAGAAACAGCUGGCAUUCUUAUCCCUCCUUUUUAUGCAGGGGAAGACACAGCCUAGGGGAGGUGGGUGGUUUGUAUAAAUUACGUAACACAACAGAAGGCUCAGAUCUGUGCACUGCCCUUAGGGACGAGGGCCCUUGGCAUCAUGGGAGCCGUCACUAGAGAACUUGUGUGUUUUGCGUGAAUGGGGCUUGGAAGGCGGUGGAAGGCAAGUGGCCUCUUAACCUUUCAGUGUUAUGUCCCCCACCCCCGCAAUUAAAAAAUAAUAAGCCCUACCCUCAAGAAGUUUCCAGCAUGCCUGGGGAGUGCACUUAGACGCAGACAGAAGAAGUGCUCUAUGAUUCUAUGAGUUCUGUGUGGGGGGGGAGGAGGGGAGUCUGGAAAUGAGAGGUGGAGUUUAUUUAGAAACAGGCAAGAUAGUUUACAAGAAAAAAACAGGUAGUGCUCAGGAACUAUGGGGAGGUGUGGGGCAGUCACUACUAAUUCCUUGCAUCUGUGUCUUCCUUGAUACCACAGGUGAGGAGGGUGACCAGGCUAAAGAACUUGACCAGGAGAUAGCUGGGUACCUCUGAGGGGUUUCCAGUAGGAGAGAGGAGAUGUACAUGCUGUUGUGGCUGGUGUUCGGUGUAACUGACACAGACAGGGAGCGCCAGUCUCCCCUGCGGAGCGGGAAAGGCAGUGGUGGUCUUCAUGGUGGUCAGAAGCACGUGGGAGUCCAGAGAGUAGUAAAGGAAGUUGCUGAAAGCCAAGUACCGAAACCAAGAUUGAGAGGUUUUGGAGGUGGGGAUGAGACUGAAGGGAGGACAGUUUCCCAAGUUAAAAGAAUUAACCCAUUCCAACUUCUAGCCAAAGGAGAGACCCAUCACCUCCAUCCAGGACACGGGAAGCAGCUAGACCAGCCCCUUUCUGAAUGCAGCCUCAGCUCAGAUCCACUUGUAACUGGCGAUCAGAGAAAUCACAGAGGGAGCAGUUACCUCAUGAUACUGAUGAUGACCCGAGGUUUAGCUUGAGACACUUGCCCAAGGCACACAGCGAAGUGCAAGAGCUGGAUUAGAACGGCUCUGACCCUGGAACGGCUCUGCAGCACCCCAUCUACCCUCACUCCUUGUUCCUCUGAACUUGGUCAGAUAAGAAUGGACAAGGACCUUGAUACAGCGCAGGACCCAUUUCCCACAGAAGAACCAUCUCCUCGUGGACUUGAUGCUCCCAUGUAAGAAGUGGUGAAACUACAAGAUGUAAUGAUGAUGAAUGUCAGGUUCUAUGCUUGGGACCAGCGGUGAGACAAAGCUUACAAAAAGGUUCACCCUAGCUUAGGCUGCAUUGAUAGACGUGAGUAUCAAAACCUGAUCUAACCUACCUAUCCUAAGUGUAAGUUGGUUUCUAGAUGCCCCACUUUAAAGAAGGGGGAACGCUUCCCCUUGAACAAAGAAAGACGAAAGAAAGAAGGAAGGAAGAAUGAAAUCUGUCCUCAAACAUGGGAAAGGCUUGUAACAUGAAAGAUGAGAAGUGUUCUCUGAGAGUGAGGGAAACCAGGACCCCUGGUGGAGGCCACAGGGAGAUGAAAGCCAGCUCCUUGCAAGGAUGAUUCUGUCUGGACUGAGGAGAUAGCAAGUUCCCCAGGACCCAGGAGAAUCACAGCUAACGUUGUGAGGAAGCCUGCUCUAUGCCAGGUCCUGUGCUGCAUGGGUUACAAAAAGUAUCUCAAAUAAUGCUCACCGUAGGAAGUGGUUCCUUUUAACGUUGCCAUGUUUUAGGUGAAGAAACUUCUUACAGAGAGCUAAGCAUCUUGUCGAAGUCUGAUUCACAGGCCCUUUAUGUCAUGGCACCUCUGCGGCAUCAAGAGCCACACUGGUGGGACUGCUGAGGAAGGGACUCUAGGAUCAGAAGGGAAACUGUACCAGAUGACUUGGAAGGAACGCUUCCUGAGAGGCAAUGACUGAUUUUUCCUAAGGUGGCAUUCUAGGCACCUGCCCCAGUAGGUCAGAGCCAGAGCCAGGCAGAGGCUGGAGUGACUAGAGGGAGGUGGGCACCCCAGUAUCCUGCCCCUGCCUUUCUGGGACUCGGUGGGGUCAGGGCCUGAGGACCUCCAGCCACCCUACCCUUCAACAAACUCUGUUCCAGAAAAAGGAAAUGGCCGGGCCUGACAAUGCAGAGCUGUGACCACAGGGUGGCAGCAGUGCUUCAGCUGCAGAGCACUGCUCCCUAGGCUGAAGUGAGGCAGGUCCUCAACAGUGCGAGUGAAGAUGGGGGUCUGUCUACAGACAUCUGAAGCAAUCUCCACUUUCUGGGGGCUCUGAAACCUUUUAGUCUCCUGUAUCUCACUUUUCUAUCCACAGGCAAAUCUCAGAGUAGUGAUUCCAUUUUUGAUCCUCCAACAGGCACGUCCAUACCCGUGGGUGUGAAUGGGCUGCGUGGCCCUUCCUGCAGCCUCUCCAGUCACCAGACUGGGUCAUCCUGGCUGACUCUGACCCUGGCUUCCCUCCUUCCUUCCUAGGACAUAAUGCCUAGCCGGACAGGACUGUCUCUAUGCUUUUAUUCUACAAGUUAGGAAAGAGGAGGUGAUCAGUUGUUGCUCUCCAACCUGUUGAGGGAUUGGGAGUUCUUGAAGGUCCCCCAGGGCCUGGCUCUGACAAAGCAUCUGCAAUUAAUGAUGCUUCUUGAGCUCUGGAGACAGGAUUUAUGCAUCUAAUAAAGUCUAUAACUCCAGGCUUAGGGGCUGGGGCCGGAGGCUGAGAGCUGGAAGUCCCACGGGGGCCAGAGGAAAGCGGGGCGGGGGGGGGGGGGCGGUCCCAGACGGCUCUUCAUGGAGCUGUGCAUUUCCACUGCCUGCUCUAGAUUCCCCCUCAGGCUGCUGUCGGGGGUGAGGAACGGGGACAGCAGGUAUAAGAGGUGGGUGUGGCCAAAGGAAGGCAGAUGGCAGCAUGGACUCCAGACGGGCAGCAGUGCUGCUGCUGCUGUUAGUAACAGACUGGGGCCGCGCUGAAGGACCAGGGGACCGGGAUGAAGGAGACCAGAGCUUCACGGUAAGUCAGCAUGCCCACCCCCUUGUCACCA